AUGAGGAUGAUGCCAUCGUCUGACUGGGCGAGGCGAGGCUGCGAAGGCGGAGGUUGCCGCUCCUGCAGCUGCUCGGCCCUCUCUUCCUUGGCGUCGAGUUCUUCUUCGACCUUGGCUGCACGCCGAGAGAGGAAAGAAGGACACGAUGGAUGUCAACAUGAAGAGGGUAGAGGACGUGCUGAUGCACAAGCGGCUCCUGGAGCUGGCCAGGGAUUCGAUGCAGCGCCAGGCUUUCGCCGUGGGGGCCGUGCAAGUGAGUUGUUUGUCCCUCCUCGCGACACUCGCAAUAAUUUACGAAUGCAAUUCGGCGCUACACUGAUUGAGUCAAAAUUCGGCUGUCUGCAAUUUUAUUAUCUGGUCUGA
This 363-nucleotide ribosomal RNA is filed under the name Triticum aestivum (bread wheat). Its description in RNAcentral is "partial small subunit ribosomal RNA". The record is from RNAcentral. Lineage: Eukaryota; Viridiplantae; Streptophyta; Magnoliopsida; Poales; Poaceae.